UUAACUAUUAUAUAGUACUCAGACGACAUAAAAUUUAGAGUUGGGGUCCUCUGGCGGGCACUGACCAGCGAAAAUGCCGGUGGUCGUGAGACGGGCCCGCCAAAGCAACAAAGGUAUGUAAACAUAGGGUGGGAGAUAUACCCCGAAGGGCAAGUUCUCUUUAAUGAUCCUUCCGCAGGUUCACCUACGGAAA
This 193-nucleotide unclassified non-coding RNA is filed under the name uncultured fungus. RNAcentral's name for it is "sequence contains ITS1". Lineage: Eukaryota; Fungi. The record is from RNAcentral.